UACGGGGGGUGCGAGCGUUGUCGGAAUUACUGGGCGUAAAGGGCGCGUAGGUGGCCUGCUAUGUCGAACGUGAAAUCCCUGGGCUCAACCCAGGAACUGCGUCCGAAACUGGCAGGCUCGAAUCCGGGAGAGGGAUGUGGAAUUCCAGGUGUAGCGGUGAAAUGCGUAGAUAUCUGGAGGAACACCGGUGGCGAAGGCGGCAUCCUGGACCGGUAUUGACGCUGAGGCGCGAAAGCCAGGGGAGCAAACGGG
RNAcentral lists this ribosomal RNA (252 nucleotides) under uncultured bacterium. RNAcentral describes it as "partial 16S ribosomal RNA". It matches the Rfam family "Bacterial small subunit ribosomal RNA", at positions 524 to 776 of the family's 1533-position model. The record is from RNAcentral.